UAAACUGGAGGCAGGCACAGAAAAUACAGUGCAUUAAAGGUAGGGUCAGUUUGAGUGGAGCAGCUUUAAAGCACUAAGCAUGUGUCCAGUCUGCAAUAAGCAUGAAACUAAAGUUAGAACCAGCAAGUAUCCAAGAAGUCGCCUGGUGCAGCAACCCCUGAACUCACAGCCCUGUGGGAUGCUUGGCAGCUCCUAAUCUCAUACUCCGUCAUGGAACAUCUACUGAAGACCCUGCAGGAAAGCGGCCAAGGCCAGAAAGAGCACCAUGCCUUGACUUCGGCUGGAAUCCCAGCAAUCAGCUGCGCUUUUCCAUGUCUACUGCACGUGAACCACCGGUGCCAGUUUAAACUGUUAUGUGCCAAUCACUACACGAAUCGCCUUCAGUAAUGCUUAGGGAGCACCCACCAUGGGCCCAGCACCCCACAAGACCACUUGUAUGUGUUACCUUGUUUGAUGCCAUUUGACAGUUGAGAAACCUGAGAUUCAAAGGCAGCAGCCACUCACACAAGGGUGGGAGCUGGCAGCAGCAGAGUGUCAGGGUCCAGCCCCGACACCUGAGCUCCAGCGCUGGCGUUUGACCACCCUGCUAAUCCUACUGGAUCAUGUGACCUAAAAUUCAUGUGAAAAUCUAUAAAUUACUUCACAUACAGGACUCAGCGGAUUCUCAAGGGCCCCCGGGGUAAGAUGGUUGAGUCAUGCCUGGGGACAGCUGACCUCCUCACGUUCUCAUGGCUGAUCUGAGAGCCCUGGGUUUGGAAGUAGGACACGAACCUGUUUAGAGCUGUGAUUCUGUCACUUCCUAGGUGUGUGAUGUUGGGAAUUAACCAAGUUUCUUCACCAGUAAUAUCUGCACAGUAACACUGUCCUCAUUCCAUUGUGAGGGUUAAAUGAGAAAUGGUUUGCAAAGAACCUGGUAACCAGGAGGCCUGAAGCACACCUGUAAUAUUUCUAUGUGACUUAGAGCAUGGAGAUUUUUAAAUGCUAAAAGUUCAUCAUUUUAAACUAUGUAAAAUAAUUAUAUAAAAUUUAAUUUUUUGUUUUAUCAUCAGUUUUAACUGAAUUCUUGAAUCACUUUCUUCUGAUUCAAACAUGUCACUGUUCCGUGCCCAGUGGGAACGUUUGAGAUCAGCCUCUUGGCCACUGCGUUUGUCUGCACUUGAACCUUCGCUGAGAGGAAUGCCGGCUUUGCUGUGUGCAGCCACAGGCCGUCGGGGCCUGAGCGAGAAGCACCACCUGGUUGAGGAGCAGGUGCCCUGAGAAAACAGAGACCACUCAGGACUGUUAAGGUUCUGUUUGAAGCCUGCAUCAAAGUCUGGGCAGCCUUCCCGGAAACGUCACUCAGUAUGUGGGCACAGCCACCUGGGGCCUGUGGGCUCCGCCGGGGACCCGGGCCAACUCCAUUGGAAAGGCCCCGCCUCCGGCUACGUCUUCCUCAGUUUCCACCUCUGUCCUUUGCUGACUUAGUCCUUCAAGAACUUGGGUCUGAAGACAGCUUUGUUUUCACUGCUGUGAUAGCAAAAACACAGCAGAGCCAAACACAACAGGGGCCGGCCAAGCUCUGUGAGCUCAGUCCUGCGUGCCGGGAAGGCGCCGGGCCCCUCCGGAUGCCGGAUGCCAAGUGCUGUGGACUCAGGCCUUAAAGGAAUAUUCAGGCAACACUUCACAAAGGCGCAUUUCAAACAGCUGCUUAGACACAAAUCUCAGUGGCUGACAUGGUUUAGUGCUGUGUUCCUGCUCAAAUCUCACGUCAAAUUGAAAUCCCUAGUGUUGGAGGAGGGUCCUGCUGGGGAUGACUGAAUCGUGGGGGUGGAUUCCCCUUGCUGUUCUCGUGACAGACUCACCAGAUGUGGUCGUUUGAAAGUACGCAGCGCCUUCCCCCUUGCUCGCGCUCUCUCUCCUGCUUCACCAUGUGAAGAAGGUGCCGGCUUCCCCUUGCCUUCUGCCAUCUUCUAAGUUCCUGAGGCCUCUCAACCGUGCUUCCUGUACAGCCUAUUUCUGCAUAAAUUACCCAGUUACCCAGUCUCACGUAGUUCUUCACAGCAUUGUGAGAAUGGGCCAGGACAGUGGCUCUCCAAAGACCAGGGACUGUAGAGGCAAAUCGCUCUUCGCAGUUGCAUGUCACAGUCACAGCACCUUACAUGUGCACGGGGUCCUGGUGUGAUGUGGGGGCACGUCCCAGACCCUGCAGGCAGGACCAGACUGCAGCAGACAGCCCUGUCAUUCCAGCCAGAACAGAGCCACACACAGCAGACACAUUAUAGCUCCAGCUGUUGCCAGAAGUGCCUAAAGCACCCACUCUAUUUGGUCAUUACUGCUAUAUAAAGAAAUUCACUUUUAUUGGUAUUUUUUUCCUUACUAUUCCUUGGAUGUUCAUGAGUAAUUUCACAGUUGAGGCUCUCUGUGAACAGUGUGCAGGACCUUCACAUUCCUAGGGAGACAAGAAGGAUAAAACUCCAGGCCCAGCGUCAGGCAUGCCAGGUGAGCCAGCUUCACACAUUUGGGGAAUCUGAGUUUCUUCCUGCUCGAAUCCAUGCACACGAAAGCCUCUCAGAGCUCCAGCGACAUGUGGGAGGUUAUCAAGGCUCCGUCUCACUCCCCAGAUUUAAAUUCUGGGUUUUUGUCUUGCCUGUUGUCAGGCUACCCAACACCUCAGCCUCCGCAGCUGUGACUGCGCCCAGCACCUCAGCCUCCGCAGCUGUGACUCCGCCCAGCACCUCAGCCUCCGCCCAGUCUCUCAGCCUCCGCAGCUGUGACUGCGCCCAGCACCUCAGCCUCCGCAGCUGUGACUCCGCCCAGCACCUCAGCCUCCGCCCAGCCUCUCAGCCUCCGCAGCUGUGACUCCGCCCAGCACCUCAGCCUCCGCCCAGCCUCUCAGCCUCCGCAGCUGUGACUCCGCCCAGCACCUCAGCCUCCGCCCAGCCUCUCAGCCUCCGCAGCUGUGACUCCGCCCAGCACCUCAGCCUCCGCAGCUCUGACUCCGCCCAGCACCUCAGCCUCCGCCCAGCCUCUCAGCCUCCGCAGCUGUGACUCCGCCCAGCACCUCAGCCUCCGCAGCUGUGACUCCGCCCAGCCUCUCAGCCUCUGCAGCUGUGACUCCGCCCAGCACCUCAGCCUCCGCAGCUGUGACUCCGCCCAGCAUCUCAGCCUCCGCAGCUCUGACUCCGCCCAGCAUCUCAGCCUCCGCCCAGCCUCUCAGCCUCCGCAGCUCUGACUCCGCCCAGCACCUCAGCCUCCGCCCAGCCUCUCAGCCUCCGCAGCUGUGACUCCGCCCAGCACCUCAGCCUCCGCAGCUCUGACUCCGCCCAGCACCUCAGCCUCCGCCCAGCCUCUCAGCCUCCGCAGCUCUGACUCCGCCCAGCAUCUCAGCCUCCGCCCAGCCUCUCAGCCUCCGCAGCUCUGACUCCGCCCAGCACCUCAGCCUCCGCCCAGCCUCUCAGCCUCCGCAGCUGUGACUCCGCCCAGCACCUCAGCCUCCGCAGCUCUGACUCCGCCCAGCACCUCAGCCUCCGCCCAGCCUCUCAGCCUCCGCAGCUGUGACUCCGCCCAGCACCUCAGCCUCCGCAGCUGUGACUCCGCCCAGCCUCUCAGCCUCCGCAGCUGUGACUCCGCCCAGCACCUCAGCCUCCGCAGCUGUGACUCCGCCCAGCACCUCAGCCUCCGCAGCUGUGACUCCGCCCAGCACCUCAGCCUCCGCAGCUCUGACUCCGCCCAGCAUCUCAGCCUCCGCAGCUGUGACUCCGCCCAGCACCGCAGCCUCCGCCCAGCCUCUCAGCCUCCGCAGCUGUGACUCCGCCCAGCACCGCAGCCUCCGCAGCUCUGACUCCGCCCAGCAUCUCAGCCUCCGCCCAGCCUCUCAGCCUCCGCAGCUGUGACUCCGCCCAGCACCUCAGCCUCCGCAGCUGUGACUCCGCCCAGCACCUCAGCCUCCGCAGCUCUGACUCCGCCCAGCAUCUCAGCCUCCGCCCAGCCUCUCAGCCUCCGCAGCUGUGACUCCGCCCAGCACCGCAGCCUCCGCAGCUCUGACUCCGCCCAGCAUCUCAGCCUCCGCAGCUGUGACUCUGCCACACACCAGGUGUGGGCUUUCUUGUGCAGCCUCCUGCCAAUGAAGAAUCAAGCUCUGCAAAACAGUUGAUUUAUCCUGAGCUAAAGGUGAGCGGCCAAUGGCCCAUAACACAGUCCUCAGGAGAUCCUGAGAACGUGUGCCCAAGGUGGCUGGGCUGCAGCUUCACUGUAUACAUUUUGGGGAGACAUAAGACGUCAAUCCAUACAUGUAAGACGUACACUGGCGGGACGACCGGAAGCCAAGGCAUCCAGGUCAUGGGCACAUUCAAAGAUUUUCUGAAAGAUUGACAGUUCAUUGAAAGAACUAAGUUAUUGUCUAAGGGCCCAGACUCCAUAGGAAAGAAUGUCUGAGUUAAGAUAAGGGGUUGUGGGGACCAAGUUCCCAUUAUGUAGAGGAACCCUCCAGUAGUUAACUUCAGAGAGAAUAGAUUAUAAAUGUUCCUUAUCAGAAUUUAUUCUUUCCUGGAUCAGGAAGAGGGCUUGGAAACAGAAGAGGAUUCUCUUCAGAAUGUAGAUUUUCCCCACAAGAGACGGCUUCGAAGGACUAUUUCAAGAUAUGGCAAAGAAACAUGUUUGGAGUUGAAACAGUUUGAUUUUCUUCUUUAUGUGUCAUGUGACGUUAUGCCAGAGUCAGGUUGAAAUGUUAUACAGGGUUAAAAAGAUGCUCCAAUGAGCCUUCAUGGUUUGCAGGGUGGACUCCCCAGGCCCCUUAGAUAGGAAUUUGGGCAAGAGAGGAAAAGGUCAGAGUUUAGCCUCACUCUGAUGGUGGCAGCUCCCACAACCUGCCUGGGUCUGGGGCGAGGUGGCCAUGGGAGUAGUUCUACACGAAAAUGCCACAGAACCUUCCGUUUCCACCAAGGGUCAGUAGUUCUUCUUGAAUAAAUGCUUCCAGCUUGCCAUA
Callithrix jacchus (white-tufted-ear marmoset) is the source of this 4963-nucleotide long non-coding RNA. RefSeq lists it as uncharacterized. NCBI's taxonomy places the organism in Eukaryota, Metazoa, Chordata, Mammalia, Primates, Cebidae. The record is from RefSeq and is a predicted model, not a curated record.